Molecule: ribosomal RNA, 276 nt
Filed under: Cronobacter sakazakii
Lineage: Bacteria; Pseudomonadati; Pseudomonadota; Gammaproteobacteria; Enterobacterales; Enterobacteriaceae
Description: partial 16S rRNA
Rfam family: Bacterial small subunit ribosomal RNA
Source: RNAcentral
GUGAUAAACCGGAGGAAGGUGGGGAUGACGUCAAGUCAUCAUGGCCCUUACGACCAGGGCUACACACGUGCUACAAUGGCGCAUACAAAGAGAAGCGACCUCGCGAGAACAAGCGGACCUCAUAAAGUGCGUCGUAGUCCGGAUUGGAGUCUGCAACUCGACUCCAUGAAGUCGGAAUCGCUAGUAAUCGUGGAUCAGAAUGCCACGGUGAAUACGUUCCCGGGCCUUGUACACACCGCCCGUCACACCAUGGGAGUGGGUUGCAAAAGAAGUAGG